Melospiza georgiana is the source of this 1300-nucleotide long non-coding RNA. RefSeq lists it as uncharacterized. Lineage: Eukaryota; Metazoa; Chordata; Aves; Passeriformes; Passerellidae. The transcript is spliced from 6 exons. The record is from RefSeq and is a predicted model, not a curated record.
UUCUUUUGCUGUUCCAUUUCUAAAGAUAACUGUGUUUGGAGAAGCUGUUACGUGUUUCUGUCACUCCAUAGCACAGGGUGCUGCAGGAGACAGAAUGAAGAGAAGCAGCUGAAGAAAGGAAAGCUGAUCCUCUGGCAAUGGGGAGCAAGAGGGCAUUUGGUUCUGCAGGAUGUUUAACCACAUCUGAAAGCCUCACCAUGGAAGUUCAGGAAGAGGUGAUGUCCCACUGCAGCCAGGUGGAAGGGAGCACCAGGUGCAGAUCUCCUGUGUUCUAAUACUUCAGAAAAAUUGCUGCUUGUCUUCCCUCCCCCACGAGGCUGAGUCCCAGCACCCCAGAUUGUCGUGACUGCCUGGGAUUGGUGACAUCUCCAGUGAAAUGUGUUGGAGCAUCAAAACAGAGUGGGAGAAGCACAGCCUGGCUCUGGGAGCCAAAAAUAGUUUUCCUCUCACUUUGAAUUCUGUCAGUCUCACUUCCCCUGGCACAGGAGGAAAUGUGAUGGUGUUUACAGAGCAGAAGCACUGGGGCUCAGGAGAUGUGGAAGGUGGCCCUGCUGCUCUACCUCCAACAGCUCUCCAUGGUUCUGACCUCCUGUCAGGAUAACCUGCACUAAAACCCCUCUGCCUAUUCCUGUGUGAUCCUACUGUGCCUAACACAAGCUCAGAGAUAACCCCAGUAAUGUAAUCCUGAGCUGACAUCGAUGCAGGCCAUCAGCAAUGUGGAAAUUUCCCUCUGUGAUGAGGGAUGUCAUGGCUGGCACAAGCUCCAGCACUCCAAGGGGGUGAGGCACAUGCUCAGUGUAUUUCAGGAUAAAUUGCAGCUGGUUGCUGGUAAUCCUUGUGGCAUAUCAGAUAGCAGCAUAGCUCGGCAAGGGUAAGCUGGAGAAACCCAAACAUCCUUCUGAGGAGGUAAUUAUUCCAUUGUGAAAAUGCCCCGGGAUAUUUUUAGUGGCCAAACCCCCUGUUUCCUGACAGAAACAUAAAAUAAUGAAGCAAGCUUCACAAGGAGAGACGCCUCAGACACCUGUAUUAGCUGGUGCUUUGCAGUCACGUCAGCGUUUAAUUCACUGUGUGCAUCCCUGUACGGCAGAAUCCACACCUGCGUUUGGGGCACUGAGCACUCUGCCAGCCUCUGCCUCGCACAAAACCCUCUCCAUAAACAAAUCUGCAAAUCCUGCUGGAUCAAGAAGAAUUUCACGGGAAUAUAGAGCUGCCCGCAACAAGAGGGACACCCUUGCCACACACACCGAGGUUACCAAGGGAAACUUUCCUUAACAGGAGUCUCACAACCAGCGUAAAAGCC